RNAcentral lists this ribosomal RNA (208 nucleotides) under uncultured bacterium. RNAcentral's name for it is "partial 16S ribosomal RNA". It matches the Rfam family "Bacterial small subunit ribosomal RNA", at positions 568 to 774 of the family's 1533-position model. The record is from RNAcentral.
CGCGUAGGUGGUUUGUUAGGUUGGAUGUGAAAGCCCCGGGCUCAACCUGGGAACUGCAUCCAAAACUGGCAAGCUAGAGUACGGUAGAGGGUGGUGGAAUUUCCUGUGUAGCGGUGAAAUGCGUAGAUAUAGGAAGGAACACCAGUGGCGAAGGCGACCACCUGGACUGAUACUGACACUGAGGUGCGAAAGCGUGGGGAAGCAAACA